AGGCUGCAACUCGCCUACACGAAGUCGGAAUCGCUAGUAAUCNCGGAUCAGCAUGCCGCGGUGAAUACGUUCCCGGGCCUUGUACACACCGCCCGUCACACCAUGGGAGUUUGUAACGCCCAAAGUCGGUGGCCUAACCUUUAUGGAGGGAGCCGCCUAAGGCGGGACAGAUGACUGGGGUGAAGUCGUAACAAGGUAUC
This 200-nucleotide ribosomal RNA is filed under the name uncultured bacterium. RNAcentral describes it as "partial 16S ribosomal RNA". It matches the Rfam family "Bacterial small subunit ribosomal RNA", at positions 1302 to 1500 of the family's 1533-position model. The record is from RNAcentral.